This 37-nucleotide non-coding RNA is filed under the name Trypanosoma vivax. The record is from RNAcentral. Lineage: Eukaryota; Euglenozoa; Kinetoplastea; Trypanosomatida; Trypanosomatidae.
AAUAACGAAAACUUAUAUAUGAUAACAAGGGUGGUGU